GCCGACGUAGCUCAAUGGCAGAGCAGCUGAUUCGUAAUCAGCAGGUUGUAGGUUCAAAUCCUAUCGUCGGCUCC
Molecule: transfer RNA, 74 nt
Filed under: subsurface metagenome
Description: tRNA-Thr
Rfam family: tRNA
About the family: Transfer RNA (tRNA) molecules are approximately 80 nucleotides in length. Their secondary structure includes four short double-helical elements and three loops (D, anti-codon, and T loops). Further hydrogen bonds mediate the characteristic L-shaped molecular structure. tRNAs have two regions of fundamental functional importance: the anti-codon, which is responsible for specific mRNA codon recognition, and the 3' end, to which the tRNAs corresponding amino acid is attached (by aminoacyl-tRNA synthetases). tRNAs cope with the degeneracy of the genetic code in two manners: having more than one tRNA (with a specific anti-codon) for a particular amino acid; and 'wobble' base-pairing, i.e. permitting non-standard base-pairing at the 3rd anti-codon position.
Source: RNAcentral